This 551-nucleotide ribosomal RNA is filed under the name fungal sp. TZ-2013. Its description in RNAcentral is "eukaryotic LSU rRNA". The stretch from base 197 to 350 matches the Rfam family "5.8S ribosomal RNA". The record is from RNAcentral. Lineage: Eukaryota; Fungi.
UUCCGUAGGUGAACCUGCGGAGGGAUCAUUACAGAGUUGCAAAACUCCCAAACCAUCGUGAACGUUACCUACAUCGUUGCUUCGGCGGGUGGCGGGCUUCGGCCCUGCCCUCGGCCCCUCUCGGGGGCCCGCCGGAGGUACACCAAACUCUUGAAUUUACAUGGCCUCUCUGAGUCUUCUGUACUGAAUAAGUCAAAACUUUCAACAACGGAUCUCUUGGUUCUGGCAUCGAUGAAGAACGCAGCGAAAUGCGAUAAGUAAUGUGAAUUGCAGAAUUCAGUGAAUCAUCGAAUCUUUGAACGCACAUUGCGCCCGCCAGUAUUCUGGCGGGCAUGCCUGUCCGAGCGUCAUUUCAACCAUCAAGCCCCCGGCUUGUGUUGGGGACCUGCGGCACACCCGCAGGCCCUGAAAACCAGUGGCGGGCUCGCUGUCCACACCGAGCGUAGUAGCAUAUCUUUGUCUCGCUCAGGGCGUGCGGCGGGUUCCGGCCGUGAAACCCACCUUCUCGAAGGUACCCAAAGGUGACCUCGGAUCAGGUAGAAGCCCAUCGA